UCUGGUUGGUUUGUUCAUGACUGUCAAUGAUCAGAGACCAUUUUGAAUGAGUUAUGAGUUUUGGGAGUGAGAGAGAGAGAGUGAAGGAGACAGACCGACAAGAGAGAGAGAGAAGGAAGGUGGGGGACAGAGAAAGUGUUUAAACGAGAGAGGGGGGUUGGAAGUCCAUCUGAAGGACCCCCUUUGCAGAAUGCCAGAGGAACAUGAGCUGAACUGCAAGAGCCCAGCAGACAAAAGACUUUUAGCCACCAAGGUGCUGGGAACAGUGAAGUGGUUCAACGUCAGAAAUGGCUACGGCUUCAUUAACAGAAAUGACACAAAAGAAGAUGUGUUUGUCCAUCAG
Long non-coding RNA from Carcharodon carcharias (great white shark), 343 nucleotides. RefSeq lists it as uncharacterized. The record is from RefSeq and is a predicted model, not a curated record. Lineage: Eukaryota; Metazoa; Chordata; Chondrichthyes; Lamniformes; Lamnidae. The transcript is spliced from 3 exons.